Molecule: ribosomal RNA, 425 nt
Filed under: Pseudomonas sp. CL1.42
Lineage: Bacteria; Pseudomonadati; Pseudomonadota; Gammaproteobacteria; Pseudomonadales; Pseudomonadaceae
Description: bacterial SSU rRNA
Rfam family: Bacterial small subunit ribosomal RNA
Source: RNAcentral
GGCAGGCCUUAACACAUGCAAGUCGAGCGGCAGCACGGGUACUUGUACCUGGUGGCGAGCGGCGGAACGGGUGAGUAAUGCCUAGGAAUCUGCCUGGUAGUGGGGGAUAACGCUCGGAAACGGACGCUAAUACCGCAUACGUCCUACGGGAGAAAGCAGGGGACCUUCGGGCCUUGCGCUAUCAGAUGAGCCUAGGUCGGAUUAGCUAGUUGGUGAGGUAAUGGCUCACCAAGGCGACGAUCCGUAACUGGUCUGAGAGGAUGAUCAGUCACACUGGAACUGAGACACGGUCCAGACUCCUACGGGAGGCAGCAGUGGGGAAUAUUGGACAAUGGGCGAAAGCCUGAUCCAGCCAUGCCGCGUGUGUGAAGAAGGUCUUCGGAUUGUAAAGCACUUUAAGUUGGGAGGAAGGGCAGUUACCUAAU